Mus musculus (house mouse) is the source of this 9797-nucleotide RNA transcript. It is a transcript of the gene named clock circadian regulator, with no coding region annotated. The record is from RefSeq and is marked validated. Lineage: Eukaryota; Metazoa; Chordata; Mammalia; Rodentia; Muridae. The transcript has 23 exons.
GGAGGAGGGGAAGGCCGGGAGGGGGAGGAGCGCGGCGGUAGCGGUGAAUUUUGAGGGGUGGGUCGGGGGCGCGCACUCGCCGCCCCUGGUGCUGCCGGCUCCCGGAGCCGUGGCGUGUCCCGGCUGUCGCCGCUCGGCUGUCGCGAGCCGCCGCGGGCAGAGUCCCGGGCGGGGGAGGGAGGAAGCCGGAGCCUCAGGCACGUGAAAGAAAAGCACAAGAAGAAACUUUUACAGGCGUUGUUGAUUGGACUAGGGCAACGAUUCCCAAAAUCACCAGCAAGAGUUCUGAUGGUCAGUCACACAGAAGACGGCCUUGCGUCUGUGGGUGUUGGAGACUCCAUUCUAAAGAUAUAAAAAGUGAAAGAGGAGAAGUACAAAUGUCUACCACAAGACGAAAACAUAAUGUGUUAUGGUGUUUACCGUAAGCUGUAGUAAAAUGAGCUCAAUUGUUGACAGAGAUGACAGUAGUAUUUUUGAUGGAUUGGUGGAAGAAGAUGACAAGGACAAAGCAAAAAGAGUAUCUAGAAACAAAUCAGAAAAGAAACGUAGAGAUCAGUUCAAUGUCCUCAUUAAGGAGCUGGGGUCUAUGCUUCCUGGUAACGCGAGAAAGAUGGACAAGUCUACUGUUCUACAGAAGAGCAUUGAUUUUUUGCGCAAACAUAAAGAGACCACUGCACAGUCAGAUGCUAGUGAGAUUCGACAGGACUGGAAACCCACAUUCCUUAGUAAUGAAGAGUUUACACAGUUAAUGUUAGAGGCUCUUGAUGGUUUUUUUUUAGCGAUCAUGACAGAUGGAAGUAUAAUAUAUGUAUCUGAGAGUGUAACUUCGUUACUUGAACAUUUACCAUCUGAUCUUGUGGAUCAAAGUAUAUUUAAUUUUAUCCCAGAGGGAGAACAUUCAGAGGUUUAUAAGAUACUCUCUACUCAUCUGCUGGAAAGUGACUCAUUAACCCCUGAGUACUUAAAAUCAAAAAAUCAGUUAGAAUUCUGUUGUCACAUGCUUCGAGGAACAAUAGACCCAAAGGAGCCAUCCACCUAUGAAUAUGUGAGAUUUAUAGGAAAUUUUAAAUCUUUAACCAGUGUAUCAACUUCAACACACAAUGGUUUUGAAGGAACUAUACAACGCACACAUAGGCCUUCUUAUGAAGAUAGAGUUUGUUUUGUAGCUACUGUCAGAUUAGCUACACCUCAGUUCAUCAAGGAAAUGUGUACUGUUGAAGAACCAAAUGAAGAGUUUACAUCUAGACACAGUUUAGAAUGGAAGUUUCUAUUUUUAGAUCACAGGGCACCACCAAUAAUAGGCUAUUUGCCAUUUGAAGUCUUGGGAACAUCAGGCUAUGAUUACUAUCAUGUGGAUGACCUAGAAAAUCUGGCAAAAUGUCACGAGCACUUAAUGCAAUAUGGAAAAGGCAAAUCGUGUUACUAUAGAUUCCUGACCAAAGGCCAGCAGUGGAUAUGGCUUCAGACUCAUUAUUAUAUUACUUACCAUCAGUGGAAUUCAAGGCCAGAGUUCAUUGUUUGUACUCACACUGUAGUAAGUUAUGCAGAAGUUAGGGCUGAAAGACGGCGAGAACUUGGCAUUGAAGAGUCUCUUCCUGAGACAGCUGCUGACAAAAGCCAAGAUUCUGGGUCUGACAAUCGUAUCAACACAGUGAGUCUCAAGGAAGCACUGGAAAGGUUUGAUCACAGCCCAACUCCUUCUGCCUCCUCUAGAAGCUCACGAAAGUCAUCUCACACCGCAGUCUCAGACCCUUCCUCCACACCGACAAAGAUCCCUACUGAUACUAGCACUCCUCCCAGACAGCAUUUGCCAGCUCAUGAAAAGAUGACACAGCGGAGGUCGUCCUUCAGCAGUCAGUCCAUAAACUCCCAGUCAGUUGGUCCAUCAUUAACACAGCCAGCGAUGUCUCAAGCUGCAAAUUUACCAAUUCCACAAGUUUCAGUUUUCAGCUCAGUUAGGAGCCAUGCAGCAUCUAAAAGACCAGCUAGAGCAGCGGACACGGAUGAUAGAGGCAAAUAUUCAUCGGCAGCAAGAAGAACUAAGGAAAAUUCAAGAGCAACUUCAGAUGGUCCAUGGUCAAGGGCUACAGAUGUUUUUGCAGCAAUCAAACCCUGGAUUGAAUUUUGGUUCUGUUCAACUUUCCUCUGGAAAUUCUAAUAUCCAGCAACUCACACCUGUAAAUAUGCAAGGCCAGGUUGUCCCUGCUAACCAGGUUCAGAGUGGACAUAUCAGCACAGGCCAGCACAUGAUACAGCAACAGACUUUACAAAGUACAUCAACUCAGCAGAGUCAACAGAGUGUAAUGAGUGGACACAGUCAGCAGACGUCUCUUCCAAGUCAGACACCGAGCACUCUCACAGCCCCACUGUACAAUACGAUGGUGAUUUCCCAGCCUGCAGCUGGGAGCAUGGUCCAGAUUCCAUCCAGUAUGCCACAGAACAGUACCCAGAGUGCUACAGUCACUACGUUCACUCAGGACAGACAGAUAAGAUUUUCUCAAGGUCAGCAACUUGUGACCAAAUUAGUGACUGCUCCUGUAGCUUGUGGGGCCGUCAUGGUACCAAGUACCAUGCUUAUGGGUCAGGUGGUGACUGCCUAUCCUACCUUCGCCACACAACAGCAGCAGGCACAGACAUUAUCGGUAACACAACAGCAGCAGCAGCAGCAGCAGCAGCCACCACAGCAACAGCAACAACAACAGCAGAGUUCCCAGGAACAGCAGCUUCCUUCAGUUCAGCAGCCAGCUCAGGCCCAGCUGGGCCAGCCACCACAGCAGUUCUUACAGACAUCUAGGUUGCUCCACGGGAAUCCUUCGACACAGCUCAUCCUCUCUGCUGCCUUUCCACUACAACAGAGCACUUUCCCUCCUUCGCACCACCAGCAACACCAGCCUCAGCAGCAACAGCAGCUUCCUCGGCACAGGACUGACAGCCUGACUGACCCUUCCAAGGUCCAGCCACAGUAGCACACACACUUCCUCUCUGACAUGCGAGAGGAAGGGGAUGGCCAGAAAGAAUCGCUCAGUUGGCAUGCGGUCAGAAGUUGAACAGUUUCACGAGGGUGGUCUUGAGUGUUCAGUCCCUUGAUGAGACGGUAGGGAAGUGCUGCCCAGUGCUUCAGAUGUCCAUUAAAUACCAGCCAGUGGGAAAUGGUCAUAGGGACACAGCCAAUUCUGACAGUUUCUUUGCCCAGGUAUUUUUUGAUAGAAAGAGUAUAUUGCCAAAUGCUAACAAGCUCAGCUAUCAACCAGAUCUUUACUGAAUCCGAAGAGCACUAACAGUGUUGGUAGCUUUAGUGGGUCUGUGCCUGCAUCAAAUAUUACAGAGGGCACACCACUGCCAGGGGUUUGCUUAGAAUGCCAUGAAGAUAGUCCAGUAGUUAAUAGUCCCCACCCCAAACUCCUCUCCCUGUUCAGACAAUGAUGGAACCGUGAUGACUUUGAGAAUGUUGUGCAGGUUUGAAUUCACUGUGUACAGAUGCUGUAGUGUCUCUGUGUCUGGAUGGAGGAGAGAAAGCCACUUUGAUACAGAAAGCAUUAUCUGUCCCUCACAGGUAUGAGUGCAUUUCAUUAGGUUUGACACCAUGUACAAACUGAUAACAACCUCUCUUUUUUCAUUUUGUUUACAACACAGUAGUGUUCUCGUUACUUUUCCAGGGCACAAGUCUUUUUGUCCGUGCUUUGGCUGUGAUGUCACAGUUUGUUCAGUGAGGUAACAAUGUGCUGCUGGGAAUGGAUUUUUUUUAAGGUUAAAUUAUUGCUACAUUUCCACUUACUCAGAAAUAUCCCUUAUUUCAUUAUUUUUCAAUUAUGUUUGAGAGAAUUGCACUGCUUUAUUAUUUUAGAUGGUUGGUUGAGAGUUUAAUCACAUAUUUUGAUAUAUUUCAUAGUUGGAAUAUUUAUGUAAAUGGUUUUCAACAAGCCUGAAAGUAAUUUCAAGAAUGUUUCAGUUGUAAGAGUAAAGUUUGCACACAAAACAUUUUAGGCACUUUUUUAACAUUCUCAGAGGUGGGAAUUUUAACUUUUAGGAUUUGUUGGAAUCUUUUUAUUAUCUUUAAAAAUUUCAAUGCUUCUUUUAGUCAGAAAUGAUUCAGGGUUAUUUGAGGGGAAAAAACCCAUAGUGCCUUGAUUUUAAUUCAGGUGAUAACUCACCAUCUUGAAUUCAUUGUCUGGUUUCAGUAGCAGUUUUGAAACCUUAGUACAUUUUUAGCAGCAGUGUCAUUCUCAAGUCCCCAUGAGGACUGCUGCGUCUCUUGGGCUGCCUGACAGCGUCACAGCUGGGAAUGGGAUCCCAAAAUCGUUUCCUGUUUGCAUCUUCCUCUAAAGCUAAGUAACUCUUUUAGGAAUUACCAGUAAAUACUUGCUCAGAGACAAGGGACAAGUUGUCUUUAAUUUUCAUUGCAGCACUAGAAUAAUGUAACUCACAUGCUUUUUAAACAUUAAGAUUUCAUUUGGCAAUAUCAUUCUCUACAGGUAAUAAACUCCAACAAAGCUACAUACAUUUUAAAAGGCAUUUUUUUAGAUUUUAUGGUACUAAUAAUGAGUUUUUCAAUUAAAGAACAAAAGAUCAGUAGGAUAUAGAAUAUCAAGUAUUACUGAGAAAAGGGAGGAUAAGUGUGGCACAUUAGAAUUGACCUUAAAAGGAAAGUAUGUGAUGGUGAGGUGCUAAACUGGUUUCAGCAGUGCAGAUAACCUAAGGCAGAGUUGCUAGAUCAGGGCUUGGGGAACUCGGAGUCAGCUAUCUGUCUCUAGCUUUGCUCUCAUCAUCAGUAAGUGUGUCUUUGUUUUCCUGUUUACCUGACUGCAAUUAAGUUAGCAAGUUAGUGAUAAAAAGAAAACAACCAAAGAAAAUUGGUACCUACUCUUCUGCAUAAGAAGUGUGUCUAGAUACCAGUCAGUAACUCACAUAUCACAGAGUUCUUCUAGCUGACAUUCAUACGAAUACCAGAAAUAGUUGUGAGAAUACACAUUUAUGCAAGUUUGUGCACACGUGACGAAAUCAAUGUAAGUCGAGCACCCACAUUGCUUUUCUCCCUUCCACAUUGCCUUCUUCUCUUUGGCCAUUCCAUGUCCUCGGAGUCGGAGCUGUGCCUCGUUUAUCUUUUUGCAUCACAUAGCGAUAAGAAUUUAGCUACAGGAGAUACAACAUGCUAGUUAUGUAAUGCCUGCUGUUCUUCACAGUUCAUCUCCCUGCUUAAAAGUAGCAGUUGAUAAGAAACUCUAGCUGCUAAGGCUGCUGUCCACACGGAGAUGCAUGCUGGGCAACAGUUGUCAGCACUAGCUGCCUCUUAGCUCCUUAAUUCUUGGUUCCUUUGGAUGGCAAACUGUCUUUGUCUGCUCCCCACACGACUCCAGUAUUCUGAAGAAAGUUCAUCUUUUGCCUGUUCAUUUCUGUAGCCAAAGCUGACUGAAACCCCAAAUCUAAAUCAUGAAAAGAUACCAAAAAGAAACACUUCUCAGCUUCUUAGAAACCUUAACUUCUCUUGCUGUAUUUCAUGGAUUUGAUUUUCUUUGAAAUUUUUGAUUCUGGGCAGCGCCUUUUAAUUAAGAAAUUGUUAGGAUGAAGGUCAAACAGGUUCUCAUUGCCCUGCAGGUACCUUGCUCUGGACUGCUUCUGUAUGGGGUGACUUGGGGUUGCUGAACACACAGGAUUAGAACAGUAAACACAAAGCUGCCCUUGAGGCUGGCGUUAAACCAGAGCCUCAAUAUUGAAAAUAUCAAGUCCUCUUUCCUUCCUUAGAGACGAGACUGUGAGAGGAAAGCAACUGUGGUAGGUGGGCUUGCUUGCACAUGAGCACCAAGACCAUUCCCCAAGCUCUAUCCUCAGGGUAGCAUUUAGAGUGCUGUGUUCUGCUGUCACAUAGACAUGGCUUAGGGAUGUAGCACUAAUAAAAGAAUGCCCGUGCUUUUGAAUAGUUGUGAUAGCAAACUCUAGGCUAACUAGCAAGUGUUUGAAUUCUGUGUGCUGUAUAGUAGUUGGUCAUUGCCUUAAAGCAGUCUCUUGGAAGUUGGGAGCACUGAAGCAGUCCAACCAUAUAUGGGCAUCACGUUGAGGGAGAUGAGCCUUGUUCAAGCCUUAGAAAGGACCCUUAGUCUACACAGGUAGAUUCUUUUCACUUGGAUAUUACUGUGUUUAAAAUGUUUCCACUAUGUUGAGGCAGUUUUUUAAAGUGGAACACAGAUAGGAUUUUUAGUAUUUCUUUUUUUGUUUCUUUGGUGAUUAAAGGUUUGUUGGUAGACAUUUGUGUAAAAGUUGUUCAAGCCUAUCAUCUUUCCAGUACUUGUGGUCCUGUUCUUAGUACCAGAGUCCACAAUGGAAAGUGUAAACACUGGAUAUUAAUAUUGCUGAGGGUGCAUAGCCAGGUGUGAGCUGACUGGAACUUCUCAGUGGUGAAGAAACAGCACAACGGCACUUGCCAUUUUCAUAGUGAUUGCAUAAAGAGACCUUCUAAGUUUGUCUGGAUUGAGUGAACACUCUUCUAAGAGGAGCUUCUCAAGUAAAUGCAAAGGAAAAGAGUUGACUAUUUUUAUAGCAUAUUUAAUAUAUUUGUAUAUAACUAUGAGUGUAGUAGGAACCCUCCACAUGCCUCCCACUUUUCUAAUUCCCUCCCCUUCUGCCGUAGCCCUAGUCCAGCCUCAUCCGCAUGGGUAAUGUGCCUACUGUCAGCCUACCUACCAAAAGAUAGUGCUGCUGCUUUCUGAGACAGGUGAGAUCAGACUCUCAUGCCUGGGGAUCCUUAUGGGAGGAAUAGCACACACUUAGAACAACAUACCACAGUUUAAGAGCAUCAUUUUGAAAGGUAAUAAGCACUUUAUUGCAAUUAUUCAUUUAGAUAAAGUUUGUAUCUUAGGCAUUAACCGUUUUUAAAGGAUCCCUAAUCAUCACUUAGGUGAAAUGAUAAACGACACAUUUCUGAGAAAUGUUCAGGUCCAGUGAACCGUAGCAGGUUUAUGGGAAUGAUUUCAAGGUAGCCAAAUAAACUCUGACUUUUGUUUUGAAUGUGGUGGAGUCAGGAGAUUGUAGAUGUGUAGUUUGAUUUAAACACUAUUGUAAACCUAUCUUGCCUAUUGUGUGGACACCAAAAGAGACCAAUGAGCCUGUUUAUUUUCAGAGGUCUAGGAAUAUGCAUCUGUCUGAGUAGAUAUACAGAACUAAUCUAUAAACGGUUGGUAGUAAUAUUUUAGGAUACAGUAACUUCAAGAAUUAUUGAGUGUUUUAAAUGUGCCCUGAAAUGUUGGCAUGUCAUUUCAGCGUUCCCAUUUGAGUUGCUCUUGUAAUAUUUUUGCACAAAAAGGACUGAGAAAAGACUGCUUUGGUUGAAGAAAACUAUAAUUUGGUCUUAUUUUAAUGUCUCCUGUGGAAACACUGGAGGUAAAUUUGUUGGCAUAGUUACUAAUUCAGGAUAUUUAAAACAGUGUUGAACAGCUCAUCAGAAAUUAAGCAAACUUAUAUAUUUAAAAAUUAAAAAUCUUUUUUUCCAUGUGACUGUUUUGCAUAUUUUUUCCGUUGUCAUACCACACUACAUUCCUUGGUUUUUUUUCUGAAAUAAUAAUUUGUGAAAGAUUUGAGUAUUCAACAAUAUUUUUUAAGACGCCUGGGUUUUCCCAGGAAAAUGUCCUAGUGAAGUAAGUUAUAGCUAUAUAUAGUUUGUGGAGACUAUUGAGAUUCCAUCAACACCACCAGCAAACACUGAGGUGCUGAACCAAGAGACAAUCAUAAUAGUAAGUAUUUACAGGACUUAGGAGAGGCUGCAAGGAACACUUGUUCCCAAAGCAGUUCUCUGGGUCUCCUAAAUAAAAUGGCUGUGUAUUUAGAUUUCUACAUUGUGUAGUUGGUGAUUUAUUUAAUUUAUUGCAUCAUUUUCUUGUCGUUGGAGAACUUGCUCUUGUUUGGGGCAGUCACUACCCUACCCUCUAGUGACUCCCCACUGACAGAUCAUUGGGAUCCAUUGUGCAUCACGAUGGUGAUGGAGGGUGAACCUGAAUGUCCCUGCACUUCCCUCCUGCUCUGAAUUCAUUUAAGAAAAGAACAUUAAAAGCUAACUCCUUUUAGCUCUGGUCACAUAGUGUCACUUGUUGCCUUCUCUGAUUCAUGGGCACUUUUUAUACAUUCGUUUCCCCAACACAGUCAAAAAGGCCAGUAAGACAGAACCAAGGGCACAUGUUGCCUCUGUUGCCCAUUUGGGGAAAUGCUAGCAAAGUAAUAUCUAUUAAUGACUGUCGUCACUACAUCCAUAUAUAGAAGUCCUUCUAUAUAGUUGAACAGUGUAUGCACACUGAAAACUUUGAAAAGUUGGCUGUCUUUUAGAUCCUCCAUAGUCCAGUAAAGUGGUGCUUGAACAUAGGGAGUCUAGUUGUGUGAGGAUCCUUCCUGCUCACGUGACCAAAGUGGGCUAUGGUCCUCCUUUAGCACGGUUGCGGCUCUGGAGUCCCACAGUCAGGGUCUAACACACAUAGGGAUCCCCUGGAGAGCAGUUAUUAAAAUACUGUCAGACACAAACUGGGUUUAUUACUUAAGAGGCAUCUAACUCUGAGGGGCAUAAAUUCAAAAUAUACCAUUUUUAGAUGUUUGCUUUUAAAUCAGUGAAAACAAACUGUGACAUCGCUUUAAGAAAUGACUUUUCAAAUGUUUUGAGUUGGCCUGUACUGGUUCACAUUUAUUGCUGACAAUGGUUUGAAGAGUACUACAAAGCUUAUUUAAAAAAAAAAAAAAAAAAGAAAGAAGGAAAGAAAGAAAGAAAGAAAAAGUUAAGUUGAUUUCAAGCAAAGACAUUGCCUUCAAAAAGUCCCUUACUAAUAAGCAAGGGGUAUGUCAGCCAGAACUGGAAUUUACACCAUUCUAAAAUUAUUUUGAAAUCUAUUUUACUGUGGUUUAAGUUGGGAAAAGCUCCAGUAUAGCACUUUCAUAUUCACCCUGUGUAAAGAUUAAAGCCCAAAGACAAAUUAAUGCUGUAUUAAAACCAGUUAGUGCAAAAACUAUAAAUAUAAGUUUUAUCUUUGUAAACUCUGUUAAAUCAGUUGGUAGUUGUACAAACAUGCACCAGAUUUCUCUUAAGUUCCGUGUGGUCUUGCUGUGCUGUUCCUGACAUUGCUGUCCUUACUGCUUGGUUCUGGGUUUAAACUAAAACAAGAAUAAGCAGAGCGCAUCCCUUGCAGCUCCAAAAGAGGGGCACGAUAUGGCUGUGUAUCUCCAGAUGAGAAUUCCUCCCCUCCUAAAGCAAACAUUGAAUUGAGACUUACACUCUUUCAGGUGUUUACCCCUUUGCCAAAACUAGAAAUAUGAAGGAUUAUGAGUGAUUUCAAUGGUGCUAUAUUAGGUUCCCUGGUUUUCAUAAGCUAUGUUUGGAAAUACAGCACUGAAUAAAAUGCAGACUCUUGCUACCAGCUGCAUAUUGCCGUUGUAAUUGGGUCCAGUACAAUUGGAUAUACUUGUUUAUCAAAGUUACCCUUUGAAGAAGUAAAACUGGUACACCAGCAUGCCUUCACUCAGGCCUCCUGCUGUAUGACAUGCACAGCUUUAACGUAAAAUCACAACAAACCAUCAUAAUGCUCUUUUCUCUAGACCCUUGUAAUGUAUUCAGAACCUAAAACUACAGCAAAAGAGCCAAGCAGUAGCAAUGUUUGUUUUUUUUUUUUUUUGUAAAUGUAAAAAUAAUUAGCUCUAGACCUGUUUCCUUUGAUUUAAAAAUAAAGAAUGCCUCAGUGCUGCUCUCAGUGUCACCUGCUUAUGUGGCACAUAUGUGUAAGAGUCCCAUUUUGGAUUUAUAGAACAACUAUUAAAUGUUUUUAAAUCUGUCA